UCGACGUCUUUGAUGAUCAGUGAUUGUGGGAUUACUGUUUAUCACAUAAAGUUGUCCAUGAGCGCUUGCGUAAGGUUGAGCACCCUCUAGCUACAGUAUAACACCCUGCAUACCUCUCCACGAUGACGGCCGGCAUCUGCACGAGUUGCACGGGGCUCUUGUUGUCCUUGAGCGCUUGCGUGAGGUUGAGCACCCUCUAGCUACAGUAUAACACCCUGUAUACCUCUCCACGAUGACGGCCGGCAUCUGCACGAGUUGCACGGGGCUCUUGUUGUCCUUGAGCGCUUGCGUGAGGUUGAGCACCCUCUAGCUACAGUAUAACACCCUGCAUACCUCUCCACGAUGACGGCCGGCAUCUGCACGAGUUGCACGGGGCUCUUGUUGUCCUUGAGCGCUUGCGUGAGGUUGAGCACCCUCUAGCUACAGUAUAACACCCUGCAUACCUCUCCACGAUGACGGCCGGCAUCUGCACGAGUUGCACGGGGCUCUUGUUGUCCUUGAGCGCUUGCGUGAGGUUGAGCACCUGCCCUCGCAUCACGGACAUCUGCCGCUCGAACAGACCCU
This is a long non-coding RNA of Leguminivora glycinivorella, 564 nucleotides long. RefSeq lists it as uncharacterized. The record is from RefSeq and is a predicted model, not a curated record. The transcript is spliced from 3 exons. NCBI's taxonomy places the organism in Eukaryota, Metazoa, Arthropoda, Insecta, Lepidoptera, Tortricidae.